RNAcentral lists this ribosomal RNA (510 nucleotides) under uncultured bacterium. RNAcentral's name for it is "bacterial SSU rRNA". It matches the Rfam family "Bacterial small subunit ribosomal RNA", at positions 8 to 507 of the family's 1533-position model. The record is from RNAcentral.
AGAGUUUGAUCAUGGCUCAGAGUGAACGCUGGCGGCAGGCCUAAUACAUGCAAGUCGAACGGCAGCACAGCAGAGCUUGCUCUGUGGGUGGCGAGUGGCGGACGGGUGAGGAAUACGUGGGAAUCUGCCCAGUCGUGGGGGAUAACGUAGGGAAACUUACGCUAAUACCGCAUGCGCCCUUCGGGGGAAAGCCGGGGACCUUCGGGCCUGGCGCGAUUGGAUGAGCCCACGUCGGAUUAGCUAGUUGGCGGGGUAAAGGCCCACCAAGGCGACGAUCCGUAGCUGGUCUGAGAGGAUGAUCAGCCACACUGGAACUGAGACACGGUCCAGACUCCUACGGGAGGCAGCAGUAGGGAAUAUUGGACAAUGGGCGCAAGCCUGAUCCAGCCAUGCCGCGUGAGUGAAGAAGGCCCUCGGGUUGUAAAGCUCUUUUGUCCGGAAAGAAAAGCGCCGGGUUAAUACCCUGGUGUCCUGACAGUACCGGAAGAAUAAGCACCGGCUAACUUCGUG